RNAcentral lists this signal recognition particle RNA (148 nucleotides) under Gorilla gorilla gorilla (western lowland gorilla). Its description in RNAcentral is "Metazoan signal recognition particle RNA". It matches the Rfam family "Metazoan signal recognition particle RNA". From Rfam's summary of the family: The signal recognition particle (SRP) is a universally conserved ribonucleoprotein. Lineage: Eukaryota; Metazoa; Chordata; Mammalia; Primates; Hominidae. The record is from Rfam by way of RNAcentral.
GCCAGGCAUGGUGGCAUGUGCCUGUAAUCCCAGUUACUUGGGAGGCUGAGGUAGGAGAAUCACCUGAGCCCAGGAGGUCGAGGCUGCAGUGAGCCAAGAUUGUGCCACUGCACUCUAGCCUGGGUGACAAAGUGAGACCCUGUUUCAA